ACUCAUACCUUGCAGGGGAAAAACCAUGGUCAUAAAAGUGGUUUUUCCAGGGGGAGGCUCAUCCAUUGCACUUCAGGUAUGCUGAUCCCUAUGAUUUCCCCAAAUGUGGGAAACUCAACUGCAUAAUUUGUGAUAGUGGGGGAUUGCAUUUGAGCUUUCCCUGG
Molecule: small nuclear RNA, 164 nt
Filed under: Pogona vitticeps (central bearded dragon)
Lineage: Eukaryota; Metazoa; Chordata; Lepidosauria; Squamata; Agamidae
Description: U1 spliceosomal RNA (ENSPVIG00000025203.1)
Rfam family: U1 spliceosomal RNA
About the family: U1 is a small nuclear RNA (snRNA) component of the spliceosome (involved in pre-mRNA splicing). Its 5' end forms complementary base pairs with the 5' splice junction, thus defining the 5' donor site of an intron.
Source: Rfam by way of RNAcentral